UUUUUCCCUCGGCCACCUGAAAAGCACAGCCUUAUGAAAUAAGAGGAAAUAAGUGAAAGAGGCUCAUACGUUAUGUAGGCUUUUUAUAAAGCACUCAAAUUCCACUGAAAUACAUAAAGUAAUCUUGUCAAUGAAAUUAAUGCAUAUAUGCUGUGCAGUAUAUUAUUAGCAUGGUGGAACAAUAAAACCAAUUAUUUGAGGAGUCGUGUUACUGUUAGACUAAAUGAAACAACUUCACGUUGGCUUUGUCACACAAAAAAGUUAAUCCUCUACUUGCUUUCACUUGUAGGUAGCUGAGGGGAAGACAGGAGUAGUAUUUUAAGUGAUUCCACCUGAUAAUUACAUUAAAUUCUCAGGCUCUUUUAACUUACUGCCCUUUCCCAUAGGAAGACUAAUGCGUUCAAGUUCACACUACUGUUCUUGAGUUUACACUCUACACUGCACAGUAACUGUAGCAUAUUACGUAAGGAAAAUAAGGUUAUUGUUGCCUGUUCCAUAGUAAGCACUUCAAUAUGCAGUGCUUUACUACAUCUAAUAGGUUCUAGAACUGAUGAAAUAAGCUCAUUUUUUGCUCCUGUUUAACAGUAUUUCUUCUAUGCUUUAUCUAUUAUAUUUGAAAAGCCAGCAGCAUUUCCCAUCUUCUCUUAUCAGCCCUAAUUGAAUGAACUUCAAUACUUCUCUUCAUCAGUGAUGUUUGCAGAAAAGCUGUUUGUUUGAUGUCAUCAGCAAGAUCUCUAAACUUAGCUUUCACAUUGACAGGAACGCAUUUACCAAGCAUGUUCCAGAUACCAUUCAAAUUCUGCAUUAUGAAAGAAUUUUUGAAGCAUUACAACGCACAGUGGUAAUUGUAUUUACUCCAUUUGUAAAGAAAUACACUGUAUCUAACAAAAGUACGUCCUGUUCAAAUAGCGUUAUUAAGCUGCUUUAAUUAACCUUAAGAAUCUUAAACAACUCAAGUGGAAUUGCCUUUAGGCAAAUGAGCAAACAUGUCAAAGUAUGUUAAGCAGAACCAUUUCAACGAGAUUUGCAAUAGUACUGUGUACCUGUUGAACUUUGAUAGGUAAAUAAACCAAAAGCAUCAACUGCAAACGCUUCUCUUUAUGAAAAGCCUCUCUACUCCAUUUCUCUUCUCAUUUCAGUACAAAAGGAAGUCAUCCACUCCUAAAAUGAAACAAGUGAAGUAGGAGACUUAAUAGAUACUUAAUAGAUACAUUUCCCUCCAGUGACUGCAGACAGAAUCUAGGAUGACUUGAUCGGGUUAAAUACCAAAUGCAUACACAGGUAUCCACUGUCUGGAGAAGAGUCCCCAUCAGGACUUCGGCCCCUUGUCUUUGCCGCCUCUCUAAAUAUAGAUGACAGUUCCUCAAUGAAU
This is a long non-coding RNA of Tympanuchus pallidicinctus (lesser prairie-chicken), 1372 nucleotides long. RefSeq lists it as uncharacterized. The transcript has 3 exons. Lineage: Eukaryota; Metazoa; Chordata; Aves; Galliformes; Phasianidae. The record is from RefSeq and is a predicted model, not a curated record.